RNAcentral lists this ribosomal RNA (112 nucleotides) under Periophthalmus magnuspinnatus. The record is from RNAcentral. Lineage: Eukaryota; Metazoa; Chordata; Actinopteri; Gobiiformes; Gobiidae.
AAGUGUUGACAGACUCAUGGUAAAAGGCUGAUCUCUUCAGAUCUCAGAAGCUGAGCUGGGCCUGAUUAGUACUUGGAUGGAAGACUGCCUGGAAUAUCAGGUGCCACAGUGG